Molecule: long non-coding RNA, 1789 nt
Organism: Clupea harengus (Atlantic herring)
Lineage: Eukaryota; Metazoa; Chordata; Actinopteri; Clupeiformes; Clupeidae
Source: Ensembl
GCUUCACUUUCAGCCUUGUGCUGGGGGUGAGCCCGAUUGCAAUUGUUGUUUGUCUAAUAAAUGUACUUAUAUGCAGCUCCGGAGUCCUGAGGUAACUAGGGUGAAUUUUCAUCUAUCAUAUUUGGGGGCUCUUGUCCGGGAUUCCAACAACCUCAUCGACUCUCCAUGCUGGGCUAAUCAUCAGGACCUGAACCGUGCGGAGGCUUACGAGACUCCGUUUUUCUUAAGACCUCAAACUUGAAUUGGAAGGAGGCCAGGGCCUGCCAGCGAGGAGAGCCGAGAGUGAAGGAAUUGAAUUAGACUAUAGGGGUUGGACUCCGAGCUGUUUGAACACUGUGAGGCUGAAACCAAGGUUGGGCCAGGAGAUUGGGUCCUAAUCAACAGCCUCAAAAGAAAACACUGCCACUUGCCCAAGUGGGACAGACCAUACCAAGUGCUACUGUCAACACCUACCGCAGUCAAAAUAGCUGAGAGAGCCACGUGGAUACUUCUGGCUCAAUGCAAACGGCAAACACAGGCCCUGGACGAAUAUCCACGAUGGGACCUGGCUAAAGAUCAUCCGUGGUGGAAAUGGGUAAAUCAGACUGUCAGAACGCACUACCACAAGGUCCAAGACUCACCAGUACCUGAGGAACGUUCCAAUGCAUUCCGUACGAGGGAGGAGAGAAGCAGGGGAUGACAGCGGGAUCUGGUUCGAUGGCCUGGGCAUUCCCUGAGGCAUUCCAGACCACUACAACCCAGCAGCCAAUGGCCUGGCAUCUACCCUCUGCACCUGGUGCGUCAUUUGAGCACACACAGAUUGGAUUAACUUCCUUUACUAUGCUGAGAUGAAGUUCCAAAACCUGACCAGAGACAGACUACAAAAGAUCAGAGAAGAACUACACGCCAACUCCAGGUUAACGCGGCAAAACACAGCUGUGCUUGAAAUUCUCACUGCCAUGAAUGGAGGCAUUUGUGUCAUGCUUGGUACUGACCAAUGUUGCACAUAUGUCCCUGAUAACACCCGAGAUGGGAAAGACUUGUCAGUUGUCAAACAAAAUGCCUGAUGGGGAACAGGGCCUUCAAGGACACAGCAAAGAAACCUUGUUUGAAUGUUAUCUGAAGCCUAGGCGAGCUAAUGACACACACACAGUCGACACCCACUAUGUUGGCCUACAAAUGCAAAGUAUACAAAUGUAUGAUGAGAAAUACGAUGAUUGACUUAUAAUGAUAUGGAGUGAUGCUCAGUAAUGAUCUCUGUUCCGAAAAUCCAUGUGAUAAAGCUCAGAGUGAUGAUUUUGAGGUUAUCCAUUGAAAUUGAUAAUUGACAAAUUAAGAAAGAUGAUUUGUGAUUUUAAUUUUGAUUUUGAUUGUGAUUUUUAAUUAUCCAUUGAAACGGAUAAAAGGAGGGAUAGAUGGAGAUAAUUUGCAAACACUGUUAAUUACUUAAGAAUGUAUGAAUCAUGUGCUUAUGAAAUGGCUUUUCUGUGUGUGUGUGUAACUUAGAAUAUUAGGUGCCACUUAGUCUGCAUAUGUACAAGAGCAUGUUUAGACCAGAGGUGAUAAGAAGGUUCGAACUGUGCUUCUUCCAACCUUGCAAAACUUCCAUCCUUGCCUCAGGCGUCAGAAAUCCACCACGUGGUUAUCUCUGCUGAACGCUCAACUUCGGUCUAUAUAAACCUUGUGCGAUGUGUUUAUCAUUGCUUCACUUUCAGCCUUGUGCUGGGAGUGAGCCCGAUUGCAAUUGUUGUUUGUCUAAUAAAUAUACUUAUAUGCAGCUCCGGAGUCCUGAGGUAACUAGGGUGAAUUU